CAGCCGCCACGGUAAUACGUAGGUCCCGAGCGUUGUCCGGAUUUAUUGGGCGUAAAGGGAGCGCAGGCGGUUUAGUAAGUCUGAAGUUAAAGGCAUUGGCUCAACCAAUGUAUGCUUUGGAAACUGUUAGACUUGAGUGCAGAAGGGGAGAGUGGAAUUCCAUGUGUAGCGGUGAAAUGCGUAGAUAUACGGAGGAACACCGGUGGCGAAAGCGGCUCUCUGGUCUGUCACUGACGCUGAGGCUCGAAAGCGUGGGUAGCGAACAGGAUUAGAUACCCCUGUAGUCCCUGUCUCUUAUACA
Molecule: ribosomal RNA, 301 nt
Filed under: uncultured bacterium
Lineage: Bacteria
Description: partial 16S ribosomal RNA
Rfam family: Bacterial small subunit ribosomal RNA
Source: RNAcentral